This 489-nucleotide long non-coding RNA is filed under the name Physcomitrium patens. RNAcentral's name for it is "long non-coding RNA (PPAT_LNC005945)". The record is from RNAcentral. Lineage: Eukaryota; Viridiplantae; Streptophyta; Bryopsida; Funariales; Funariaceae.
CACGUUUUACUCGUCAUCUUAUUGUGACGGAAAAAUAACUUUCGAGUACCAUUCUUACUAUUAAAAAACGAAAAAAUUGGGAAGAACCAAUUGAAAAGGCUAAGUACGACGCAUGUGGUGUGCUGACAUGUGUGUCAAUGUCGAGACAAACGACAACUGGGUUGCGAAAUAGCAAUGGUGGAGAGGGGACUACUAACUACCGGAGGCACUGACGCGGAAGACCAGAAGCUGCCAGUCAAUGUCUCUCCGCCUUCAUGCCGCAAUUGCGAAAAGACAUGGCGUGAGCGUGAUUCUGAAUAGCCAUAUCAAUACAGGUUUGAUGAAUUCCCUUCUAUGAUGGCAAGAAAUUUGAGAAUACUAUUGUGCCUGCUCAAUUGGGCGAUAGCGAUAGCUGCGCCGGCGAUCGACUCCCUACCCCACUUGGACAACCUCCACGCAGAGUGCGGGAACCCACAAACUAGUGCAUCGUCGAUCCAUCGCAACAAGAGC